Molecule: microRNA precursor, 59 nt
Filed under: Lepisosteus oculatus (spotted gar)
Lineage: Eukaryota; Metazoa; Chordata; Actinopteri; Semionotiformes; Lepisosteidae
Description: Loc-Mir-17-P4a_pre stem-loop
Rfam family: mir-17 microRNA precursor family
About the family: This family represents the microRNA (miRNA) precursor mir-17, family, which includes mir-20, mir-91, and mir-103. miRNAs are transcribed as ~70nt precursors (modelled here) and subsequently processed by the Dicer enzyme to give a ~22nt product.
Source: RNAcentral
UAAAGUGCUUAUAGUGCAGGUAGUUUUUAGUGACCUACUGCAGUAUGAGCACUUGAAGU